This 436-nucleotide ribosomal RNA is filed under the name uncultured eukaryote. RNAcentral's name for it is "SSU rRNA". It matches the Rfam family "Eukaryotic small subunit ribosomal RNA", at positions 673 to 1121 of the family's 1831-position model. The record is from RNAcentral.
CUGGGUUGCUUACUUGGCUGUCUGCAUCCUUCUGUUAACCUUGGUUUCCUUCACCGGAUCCUUGUGGGCUCAGAUACUUUACCUUCGAGAAAAUUAGAGUGUUUCAGGCAAGCUUUCGCUUGAAUUCAUUAGCAUGGAAUAAUAGAAUAGGACUCCCGCAGUUCAUUGGUCUCGUGUGGAGUAAUGAUUAAUAGGGAUAGUUGGGGGCAUUGGUACUUAAUUGUCAGAGGUGAAAUUCUUUGAUUUGUUAAAGACUAACUAGUGCGAAAGCAUUUGCCAAGAAUGUUUUCAUUAAUCAAGAACGAAAGUUAGGGGAUCAAAUACGAUCAGAUACCGUAGUAGUCUUAACUAUAAACUAUGCCGACUAGGGAUUGGAGGCGUGCGAAUUCCGCCUUCAGCACCUUACGAGAAAUCAAAGUCUUUGGGUUCUGGGGGG